This 497-nucleotide ribosomal RNA is filed under the name uncultured bacterium. Its description in RNAcentral is "partial 16S ribosomal RNA". It matches the Rfam family "Bacterial small subunit ribosomal RNA", at positions 28 to 507 of the family's 1533-position model. The record is from RNAcentral.
GAUGAACGCUGGCGGCGUGCCUAAUACAUGCAAGUCGAGCGAACAGACGAGGAGCUUGCUCCUCUGACGUUAGCGGCGGACGGGUGAGUAACACGUGGCUAACCUACCUAUAAGACUGGGAUAACUUCGGGAAACCGGAGCUAAUACCGGAUCAUAUAUUGAACCGCAUGGUUCAAUAGUGAAAGACGGUUUUGAUGUCACUUAUAGAUGGAUCCGCGCCGCAUUAGCUAGUUGGUAAGGUAACGGCUUACCAAGGCAACGAUGCGUAGCCGACCUGAGAGGGUGAUCAGCCACACUGGAACUGAGACACGGUCCAGACUCCUACGGGAGGCAGCAGUAGGGAAUCUUGCGCAAUGGGCGAAAGCCUGACGGAGCAACGCCGCGUGAGUGAUGAAGGUCUUCGGAUCGUAAAACUCUGUUAGUAGGGAAGAACAAAUGUGUAAGUAACUAUGCACGUCUUGACGGUACCUAAUCAGAAAGCCACGGCUAACUACGUG